This 254-nucleotide ribosomal RNA is filed under the name uncultured bacterium. RNAcentral describes it as "partial 16S ribosomal RNA". It matches the Rfam family "Bacterial small subunit ribosomal RNA", at positions 524 to 777 of the family's 1533-position model. The record is from RNAcentral.
UACGAAGGGGGCUAGCGUUGCUCGGAAUCACUGGGCGUAAAGGGUGCGUAGGCGGGUCUUAAGUCAGAGGUGAAAUCCUGGAGCUCAACUCCAGAACUGCCUUCGAUACUGGCGAUCUUGGAGUCCGGGAGAGGUGGGUGGAACUGCGAGUGUAGAGGUGAAAUUCGUAGAUAUUCGCAAGAACACCAGUGGCGAAGGCGGCUCACUGGCCCGAUACUGACGCUGAGGUGCGAAAGCGUGGGGAGCGAACGAGG